UAUGUCGCAGGACGAGCUGGUUUGGAUGUCCAGGACCGAUGUUUGUUUAAAAAGGAGGAUGCCUCCCACAAGGUGAUGCUCCCCUGAAGGAUGUAGCAGCGUGCCACGCUGGGGAGGCAGACAGACAGACAGACGAGCGGGGCUGAGUUCUCUGUCGUCUGCUGUUUAAUGAAAGGAAUGGUACGAGGUGUCAACGUGUUUCAGAGAUACAGUCUGGACUUCUCUGGCACCUGUGUGUCACGUCAUAUGUCUUAGACUCUUGAAUGCCUGCUCAUCUAAAAUCUGGAUGUAUUUUUGGCUAUAUGGAAAGACAAUGCAGCCUGGGGAGCUGGAAAAGUCUGUGCAAAAGUACUUGAAGCACAAUUAGCUGGCAUUUACAAAGCAGUCAGUGAAGAAGCGCCAUUUCUUUUCCUUGGCGCUGAUUGGCUGCACCCAAGAGUGAAGAUCUGAGUGGACUGACGGCCCUGUGGGGGCACCUGGCUCUCCUCCCUGCCAUCACUGGCUAAAUCGAUCGUUGAGGCCAUCUCAGCGAACGGACCAGGGGUCAGCUUCAAAGGCCUCCUGCCCACUUUCUGCCACCUGGUGUUCCAUAUAGGGCGAUGGGUACAUUUUCUUUCCAGCCCCCAUCCUCCCGUUACCCUUCUCCGAACAGGUUAAGGACAUGGAGCCAGUACAGCUCCUCCCUGUGAUCUCCUGCUGCCUCCUCCCAAGCCACCCACAUGCAGAGAGAGGCCCAGCCAUCAACCAACCCCCCUGCUUCCAAUACGUUAGCGGAUAUCAGUAUGUCCACUACUCUUGUGAACAGGGAUGAGAAGGAGAAAAAGAGGGAGAGGAAAUAAAGGUCUGAGGAGUUUGGCAAAGAGACGAUGGAGGCUGAGACAGAUGGCAUGAAGUCUGCAGCACUCUGGCGUGGCUCGCCUGGUGCUAAAAUCCUCCUCUCUCACAUUCCAAUAAAUCCUACCAGGAGGCUGGGGAGUCUGUCACACUACUCCAAGGAUCCACACGGCUCUCCUCCCUCCCUCCCCCAUACAUCAGUGCCCCCCCUCCUCAUCAGUGUCUGAGUCUCUGACCACUCCAGUAUCUGAUUUCUGCUUUUAUUGAACCCACAGAACUGUCUGCAUUCACUUAUAGAAAUGCAUAGAUGUGGAUCUACUGCUAAGAUCAGCAGCAGCAGAUGAAAAAAAAAAAGUCUUUAUGGUCGCUCUUAUUGAAAACCUUUGAGCGAUGGCCUUUAUUGUCAUUCCAGAGUACAAAUCAUAUUCUGGCCCAAAACAUGAGAGAAACACUGUACAAUCCAUUUACAUUAGAGGAAGAAGACAUAAGAAGCUUUUUGAUUAGUCUCACCAGAGCCUGCAAUCAGCCCAAAGUCUUGAGCAGACACAGUCUAACCAAAUAUCAGCCUAAACAUGCGGCUUUCAGUUCAAGGCUUCCUGUGGGUCUUUAAAUCCAAAGUGGACAAUAAGUGAGGCUGUGAUUACACACUUAGCCCGAAGCCCAAAACUUGAUCCCAGACUCCUCAGCAACUUCACAUCCAUAUUCUGAACUGCUGGAUCUCCUUUGAGUUUGCUCUCUUUUUUGCCGACUCAAAGUGGAUCAUCUCCUAAGAACAAUCUAAUUUAUUUUACGCUCUCUCUUUCUCUCUCUCCCUGUUUCUUUCUGCCGUCUGUUCUAAUGAAUGACUUCGGAGAUAAAGAGCUGCUGUGAUGGGGUCACAGAGGGCUGCAGAAUCACAUUACUGUUAAUGAUAAUAAA
Long non-coding RNA from Poeciliopsis prolifica (blackstripe livebearer), 1752 nucleotides. RefSeq lists it as uncharacterized. The transcript has 7 exons. The record is from RefSeq and is a predicted model, not a curated record. NCBI's taxonomy places the organism in Eukaryota, Metazoa, Chordata, Actinopteri, Cyprinodontiformes, Poeciliidae.